UCCAAGAACAAAAAUACAACGUACAACAAUAAUUCCUAGCUUCAGUGAAACAACAGUCAAACCCGCCAACCCAUUCGGCCGAAAUCCAUCCAAAUCAACCCAUUUUCCCCCGAUUCCCCUUAUCUCACCCCACAUCCAACCCGUUUUCUACUUCCUCUUCACAGUCACGUGCUCUCCCACACGAUUUUGAUACGAAAUCUUUUAGAAAGAGGGUAAGGUGUUACCCCCAACGUCCGAAUUCUAUGAUUUUCGGGAUAACGCAUAUGGAUUCGUACCUGUUUGGCAAAUUUUUGUUGGUUCUUGGGAAAAUGAUCCAUUUUCCCCAAUGGUUGUUUGCCAUCUGUUGAAAAUCCGAUCAAGAAAAUCAAUAGGGGUACAAUUUGUGAGCAUUCUCCUCUUUUGAAUUCAAAAAACGAACCCUCAAACCCCCCUUUUAUAAAUAGCUCUCUUUAAGGUCUGAACCAAAAAAAAAUAAUUUCUUUUGGACAAUUUUUCUUUCUUUUGGGGACUGUUACUAGGCUUUUAGGUUAAAAAUUAGGGUUUCAAAAAGGGAAAAAUCUUCUGAGUAAGUUUCUGAUUUCGAAAACAGAGAGAGGAAAAAUUUUUGAAUUUUUUUUAAUGAAUUCAAGUUGAAAGUCUUAGUUGAAAAUCUGGGAGGUUUCAAAAUUUCUAAGAGGAAAAAGCAAACGAAUGCUCUGUUGGUGGUCGACGUCGCGAGAUUCUAGUAGCGACAAGUUUGCUGAUAGCUCGUCAUCCCGUUUGCUGCCCCGGAGGAGGUUCUAGGGUUGGGAAAAUCUGAAGAAGGAAAAAUCUUUUCUGAGCUGUCUGGGUUUGAGUAAAGAAACCUCUCUUCGAAAACCUUCUAGUGGUGGUGGUUGAGCUUUUGUUAUAAGUUUGAGUCCCGUUUUACUGCCCCGAAAGAGGUAAACCUAUUUUCGUCCUUUUAAUUUAGUCAUUUUCUGCUUCAUCUCUUUUUGUAGUAGAUUUAGUUAACUAUUUAGUUGUACGCAAUAUUGUUUGCUGGGUUGUUUGCUAAUUAAAGGUCUUAAAGACCAUAGGUUGAUUGUUUUCAGUGGAAGACGAUGCUGUUUGUAGUGUUACGCCAGAGUUAAUUGUUGUGCUGAUUGUAGGACAUAUGGUUUUUGUCGUCUUUUUCGUGACCUGUUGUUAUCUGCUCGUAACACCCUUGAUAAACUUGCGGUCUAGUGACUCACUUUACAUGCUACUUGUGGUUUGAAUAGUUGGUUUCCUGGUUAAAGUUUGAUGCUUUGAUAUUCUUUAAUAUUUUUAGCCUGAUGUUGUUUUUAUUAAUAGCCACUUGAUGGUACUUUGUUUGUUGCUACUGCUGGAUUGUGUCACCAUUGUUGAGCUAGCAACGUUGCUAGCAGAUCUACCUCUUAGGUUUCUUUGGCUUCUUGUGUGCCAAAAGGAUAAUGAGCAAGGUCCAAAAGCGUGUUAGAAAGUCCUGGGAUUCCUCAAUGAUCGCUUCGUUUGAAUCUGUCGUAAGGAGGAGGAGGAGGGGGAGGAUUUGAAUCAGAGUCGUCCUUGCUGAAGAAUGUAGUAUUUUUCUUGUCUCCUUUCAUGGCACAAAUAGUAUAGAAAAUGCUCAUUGUUUUAUGAAGGAAUAAGUGUUGAUAGUAUUGCUGCAAUUUCUGUGUUAUGAAGCCCCUCUCGGAUAAUUCAAUUAGUUUGAUUUUCAUAUAUAUUAAAGAUUUCAAUAUGCGAAUAACCGAAUCUGUAUGUGUUAAAAGGCUUUAUGUUGUCCUUACGCUUAGCAAAGAAUGUUUGAAUCAUGCCUAUGUUUAAAUUUGGUCGCUUUAUUUGUGUUUCAUCUUUUUCCCCUGAAAAUUGAAACUGGUGACAAAAUCUAUACGCAUCUUCGAUUAUUAUGGUUUAAAUGUUGACGGGUGAAGUAUUUUGACUCGAUUACCAUAGAAGUUGCCAUUAUGAGGGAUUGAAUUUGGUCUCAUUUGAGCUCAUGAAUGUUUGUAAUUUCACGUGCAUCGUCUUAAAUAUGUAAAGUCAGUAAUAUGUGUGGCAUAAUUGUUAUUCGAUUUUCAUCAGACAAGAACAAAGCUUCAAAAAUGUCAAACUUUUGGUAAGGUUGGGACCUUUAUUUUUUCUUUAAAUAAUUCUAUCUUGUUUUACGAUCAUCAUCCCUUCUCCGUCUAAAUCCCUCCUGCCCAGUUUAUGGAAAAUCCUUAUAAAACUUAGAAUAUUACAAACGUACAUUGUGAAUUAAUAGGAAACCAUUUAGAAAGAUCAAUCUUCU
Molecule: long non-coding RNA, 2272 nt
Filed under: Capsicum annuum
Lineage: Eukaryota; Viridiplantae; Streptophyta; Magnoliopsida; Solanales; Solanaceae
Description: long non-coding RNA (CANN_LNC009109)
Source: RNAcentral